This 404-nucleotide ribosomal RNA is filed under the name Actinomycetes bacterium. RNAcentral's name for it is "Actinobacteria bacterium partial 16S ribosomal RNA". It matches the Rfam family "Bacterial small subunit ribosomal RNA", at positions 355 to 776 of the family's 1533-position model. Lineage: Bacteria; Bacillati; Actinomycetota; Actinomycetes. The record is from RNAcentral.
UGGGGAAUAUUGGACAAUGGGCGCAAGCCUGAUCCAGCCAUGCCGCGUGAGUGAUGAAGGCCCUAGGGUUGUAAAGCUCUUUCACCGGUGAAGAUAAUGACGGUAACCGGAGAAGAAGCCCCGGCUAACUUCGUGCCAGCAGCCGCGGUAAUACGAAGGGGGCUAGCGUUGUUCGGAUUUACUGGGCGUAAAGCGCACGUAGGAGGACUUUUAAGUCAGGGGUGAAAUCCCGGGGCUCAACCCCGGAACUGCCUUUGAUACUGGAAGUCUUGAGUAUGGUAGAGGUGAGUGGAAUUCCGAAUGUAGAGGUGGAAUUCGUAGAUAUUCGGGGAGACACCAGUGGGGAAGGCGGCUCACUGGACCAUUACUGACGCUGAGGUGCGAAAGCGUGGGGGGCAAACAGG